RNAcentral lists this ribosomal RNA (207 nucleotides) under uncultured bacterium. RNAcentral describes it as "partial 16S ribosomal RNA". It matches the Rfam family "Bacterial small subunit ribosomal RNA", at positions 568 to 774 of the family's 1533-position model. The record is from RNAcentral.
AGCGCAGGCGGAUAGGUCAGUCUAAAGUGGAAUCCCGGGGCUCAACCUCGGAACUGCUUCGGAUACUGCCUGUCUUGAGUUCGUGAGAGGAAAGCGGAAUUCAGGGUGUAGCGGUGAAAUGCUUAGAUAUCCUGAGGAACACCAAUGGCGAAGGCAGCUUUCUGGCGCGAUGCUGACGCUGAGGCUCGAAAGCGUGGGGAGCGAACG